CUGCAGGUGGGCUGACCUCAUCGUUCAACAUCUGAAAGCGAAAUUAAUCUACAAAAACAAUUGUGAUGCUAUACAAGAGUUCCUGAGCCUCAGAUUCAUGAGCCAUCCUUGGAAUAUGAAUUCUGGGCUACUUAACCCAGUGAUUCUCAACCAGGGUGCCAUGACAGCCUUUGAAGGGUGCCGCUGGGAUAGAGGAGAUAAAUGAGACAGUGCAGGCUCCAGAGAGAAGAUAAGUCUCGUUUCUGCCCUUCCAGCCACUCCUUCUCCCUGCACUCACUGCAGCGCAGGCUCUUCCCUGCCAGCUGCUCCGUCUCCUUCCCAGCCCCUCAUCGAGAAGAAAUGAGAAGACGUGUUGCAAGUUAGAGGCAUGAAGACAGAUCUGACCUGAAGAGUCAAUGGGAAUGCCAAGUGAUGAGCAGUUCUAAAAAGAUAUAAAGAAGAUCAGACUAAAAUAUCUGCUGGACCAUCUUGACCUUAAACUCUAUCAAAAUCAUGCCUUUCAAGUCACGCCUGUUAUAAUCUCAGGUGAUCACACGCAACACUCCUGGAGAAGGGCAGGAACCAGGUUGGAGAUCUCUAAAACGCUUUCAGAAAACCACAGAAAUGCUCAGCCUGCUGAUCAGAAUACCCAAGGAUGAGAAGACCAACAGGACAGAACAGAAGGGCCUGGUUCCUUAGAAGAAAACACACCGCCUACCUCUGAGAAAACCAUGUGUAAAAACACAAGGAUUCACACUCCCAAAGCCGGUGAUCUGUAUAAACCAGGAGAUCUGUUGUACUAAGAAACAUAACAAAAGGUCAGAAAACCACAGGACCUUCUUGGGGGAACCAGAUGAAUACAAUUCAGCAUGCAUGUCAUCAUCUGCAUUUGCUCAUGCAAAGUUACACAGGGAACAGGGCACAUCUACACAAGAAGCUCCUGCACAGUGGUUACUGCUGAUUUGGAUAAUCAAGUACUAAAUAGAUGUGCAGUAACUGGAGUUACUAUGCAGUAGUGCCAGCGAAUGCCUUUUUAGUGACACUACUGCAGAGUAGCCUAAUAAUACUUCACAGCGUAUUAGCACUGUUGAUGCUGUGACACACUAUUGUGCAGUAUUAUUCAGCUACUGCACAGUUAGCAUCUCGUGUAGACGCAUCCAGUAUAUACAAUUUUUCUUUUGAUCUGAGUGAAUCAUCAAAAUAUUUUAACAACAGCUAGCAGAGAGUUAAAAUAACUGUUUUGUGCACUGACUCUCAGACGAGGGCUGAGAGGUCUAAGAGGCCCUGCAAAUCUGGGCAGGAUUUUUUUCUACCAGACAGAGCUGUGAGGAGGAAAUUUGGCCAGAGUGUGGAUACUGGCUUCACCCAAGAGGAGUAUGAAGAACAAACCAGAACAACCCAUUUUAUCUUUAGCCCACUGGAGUGACAGGAAAAGUGGUUAUUUAAUUAGAGGUUAUAGAACAUGUGUUAUCCAAUGGUAAAUACAACUGUCCUAUAUGAGGAAGUAAAAGAUUGGUAUUUAUUCAAAAAACUCUCCUUGUAAACUCCCAAGUGACAGCUGCUUCACUUCCAGUCACAACAUGCCCUGCCUAGUACACUAAUGCACUCCAAAUUAGCCCUGUUCUAGGCAGCUUCAAGUGAGAAAUUCCCUUAACAGGCACAUAAUAAGGAAAACAUUGCUAUUCUUAUGUAAGCAAGUAUGAAUGAUACCCAUCUCUGAGGCUGAUGCUUCUAAUACUUAUACCAAUACAGCACAGAAAGUCUCUGUCCCUGGCAUGCCAUAGAUUAGCAGCACCUUUGUGCUUAUGAAAAAUUAGUCCAAGUAUAUGUCCCUGUAGAGCAAAGCCUACUUAGAAAUUAAUUGCUGGACUACUUCAGUCAACUUCAGAUGGAAGGUCUUGCUCGCACUUCUGUUUUCAAGGGUACAAACUCAAUGGAAGUUGGCUACCUACAUAUAAAGAAAGCUUGUAUGGAGGGAGAUGGUGGACCUGCUAGGUAAGAACCGGAGGACUGUAGCUCAGCAGGAAUUGGAAGUCUCAGCACCCCUCUGGAUCAAAUUCACAGAUAGCAACUUUAUUUCUAGACCCUGUCUUUAGCAGCAAGAUCUUCCUCUCUUAUAAAUAUCAAAGCACUUCUGCCACAGGUACUUUGUCACAGCUGAGCAACUGGCAUGUCCACUUUGUGGGAAGUUUUAUAAGGUAUGAAAAAUUAAGGAGUGUUCCAGCAGUGCACAUGCCAUUAUUUGGAACAAAAAACUGGAAUGGUCACAAAACUAAGUUCCUGCAAAGUAGGCAAGAGUGUGAACUUACUGCGUUGUCAGCUAUUGCAUAGUGCUGCCUAUGUGCAUGCUAUAUCCCCAGAGUAUGUGAGGUACAGCCCACUUUCACUGAGGAGAAGCUAUUUUACACUUAUCACAGGCUAAGUGCAUGCACAUGGGCAGUUACCAAGGAAGAGUUGGCAUGCUGUAAGUUCAUGUCCAACCUUACCUUGUGGUCACUUGUUUGUGAGUACAUAUCCCUAAAACAGCAGAGGUAUCUAGGGUAUAUGCAAUGCUCAUAUUAGCUCGCGACCAGUUAUCAAAAUAUAACUGGUCAAAUCACCUCAAUGUUGUUUGGUCUGAAAUGGCAGACUGUAUUGGUUUAAAUAUAUCUAUGAAAGCCAAAAUUUGAAUGUUUCCUCUUUUUUUUGUUUCAAUACUUUUCCAUGUUUGUCUCUUGAGUUAUCCCAGUAAAAGAGAAAAUUCCUUCUGAUGGGUGGAUCCCUGAUGUAUGCAGGUAGUUUUCUUCACCUUCUGUCAUAUUGAGCAGGCAUCCUGAAACAUGGGCAGAAAGCGAGCAGUUGGGAAGAAGAAGUAGCAGCACACACUCCUGGGGGAGGAAUGUGCAUUCAUUAAAUGCUUCUUGAAAUGAAAAGAUUCUGGCAAAGAUGGAAUCUAGGUAAAAAAAGAAAAAAACUCUACAUACACAGCACAGCCAGUGAACAAGCAUACUGUUCUGCUGCACCUGCAGCUGGAUGGGAGCCAUUAUCCCUCUCUUACUGUGACCCUCCACCUUGGAGAGGUUUAAAGGAACUAAAGAACCGCCUCCAGCCUAUACAGCAAAAAAGUGUCUCUGUAAUGGAUUUACCAAACGUAAAAUCCUUUCAAGUGUCUUGACUUGCGGUGCAGUAGUAUGGAAGGCACUAACUUCAAAAUGUCAGAGCUGUGUCUAUUCAAUUGCAUUACUUGCAGAUAACUAUAGGUACCGGAUUUCCUGGUGGUGGAUGGCUAUGUCAUGCUGUCAUAUACUCUUAGCUGUACAAAAUGCUCUUUAACUUUGUUAGGUUUCAUAUUCUAACUAUGGUGUUUAGUAGGGUGGGGUUUCUUGCUGCUUCUAAGAAAUAGAAACUAUCACAUAGCAGGAAGAAUAGGAAUGCAUUGCCAGUAAGUGCCAUCAACUUUGGAAUCAAAAUGUUAUGAUGUCUGAAAAUCCUUGUUUGUCACAAUCUGCUUUUUUUGCCACCCAGGUUUGUCAGUCAUUGACACAUGGGGAUAUCAAGAUAGGAGCAAUCACAAGAGCCUUUCUCCUCUCUGAAAAUGCAAGAUCUUGCACUAAUGCACAGUAGUAUAAUUCCCCUUUCUCACCCAACCUAUAUAGGGGUUUUACAAACCAACAUAUAAACCUGUAAUAGGAGCUGAGUCUGACAAAUCUCUAAACAUUUAUAAAUGUGGGACAGGGGGAAGGGGGCAGGAGGAGAGGGAGAGUUUGGCCCCUUCUUGUUUUGUUUUUCCGUCAGGAAUUUCCUCCUCACCAACUGUGCUCCCAAAGUAAAUA
Molecule: long non-coding RNA, 3791 nt
Organism: Alligator mississippiensis (American alligator)
Lineage: Eukaryota; Metazoa; Chordata; Crocodylia; Alligatoridae
Exons: 5
Source: RefSeq, a predicted model, not a curated record